CCUACGGGUGGCAGCAGUGAGGAAUAUUGGUCAAUGGGCGAGAGCCUGAACCAGCCAAGUCGCGUGAGGGAGUACUGCCCUAUGGGUUGUAAACCUCUUUUGUCGGGGAGCAAAAGCCGGACGUGUCCGGCUGUGAGAGUACCCGAAGAAAAAGCAUCUGCUAACUCCGUGCCAGCAGCCGCGGUAAUACGGGGGAUGCGAGCGUUAUCCGGAUUUAUUGGGUUUAAAGGGUGCGCAGGCGGAUUUUUAAGUCAGCGGUAAAAUCGUGGGGCUCAACCCCAUCCAGCCGUUGAAACUGGGGAUCUAGAGUGUGCGAGAGGUAUGCGGAAUGCGUGGUGUAGCGGUGAAAUGCAUAGAUAUCACGCAGAACACCGAUUGCGAAGGCAGCAUACCGGUGCACAACUGACGCUCAGGCACGAAAGCGUGGGUAUCGAACAGGAUUAGAUACCCUAGUAGUC
RNAcentral lists this ribosomal RNA (458 nucleotides) under uncultured bacterium. Its description in RNAcentral is "partial 16S ribosomal RNA". It matches the Rfam family "Bacterial small subunit ribosomal RNA", at positions 338 to 795 of the family's 1533-position model. The record is from RNAcentral.